Molecule: ribosomal RNA, 721 nt
Filed under: uncultured bacterium
Lineage: Bacteria
Description: bacterial SSU rRNA
Rfam family: Bacterial small subunit ribosomal RNA
Source: RNAcentral
AGAGUUUGAUCCUGGCUCAGAACGAACGCUGGCGGCAGGCUUAAUACAUGCAAGUCGAACGGUUGUAGCAAUACAGCAGUGGCAGACGGGUGAGUAACACGUGGGAACCUACCUAGGGGUACGGAAUAACUCAGGGAAACUUGUGCUAAUACCGUAUACGACCUCAGGGUGAAAGAUUUAUCGCCCCUAGAUGGGCCCGCGUUGGAUUAGCUAGUUGGUGAGGUAAAAGCUCACCAAGGCGACGAUCCAUAGCUGGUCUGAGAGGAUGAUCAGCCACACUGGGACUGAGACACGGCCCAGACUCCUACGGGAGGCAGCAGUAGGGAAUCUUGGACAAUGGGCGAAAGCCUGAUCCAGCCAUGCCGCGUGAGUGAUGAAGGCCUUAGGGUUGUAAAGCCCUUUCGCCAGGGAAGAUAAUGACGGUACCUGGAUAAGAAGCCCCGGCUAACUUCGUGCCAGCAGCCGCGGUAAUACGAAGGGGGCUAGCGUUGUUCGGAAUUACUGGGCGUAAAGCGCACGUAGGCGGUUUUCCAAGUUGGAGGUGAAAUCCCCGGGCUUAACCUGGGAACUGCCUCCAAGACUGGGAGACUCGAGUCCGAGAGAGGUGAGUGGAAUCUCAGUGUAGAGGUGAAAUUCGUAGAUAUUGGAAAGAACACCAGUGGCGAAGGCGGCUCACUGGCUCGGUACUGACGCUGAGGAGCGACAGCGUGGGGAGCAAACA